RNAcentral lists this ribosomal RNA (440 nucleotides) under uncultured bacterium. Its description in RNAcentral is "partial 16S ribosomal RNA". It matches the Rfam family "Bacterial small subunit ribosomal RNA", at positions 338 to 795 of the family's 1533-position model. The record is from RNAcentral.
CCUACGGGAGGCAGCAGUGGGGAAUAUUGCACAAUGGGGGAAACCCUGAUGCAGCAACGCCGCGUGAGUGAAGAAGUAUCUCGGUAUGUAAAGCUCUAUCAGCAGGGAAGAAAAUGACUGUACCUGACUAAAAAGCCCCUGCUAACUACGUGCCAGCAGCCGCGGUAAUACGUCGGGGGCAAGCGUUAUCCGGCUCUACUUGUUUGAAAGGGAGCGUAGACGGUGUGGCAAGUCUGGAGUGAAAGCCCGGGGCUCAACCCCGGGACUGCUUUGGAAAGUGUCAUGCUGGAGUGCUGGAGAGGUAAGCGGAAUUCCUAGUGGAGCGGUGAAAUGCGUAGAUAUUAGGAGGAACACCAGUGGCGAAGGCGGCUUACUGGACAGUAACUGACGUUGAGGCUCGAAAGCGUGGGGAGCAAACAGGAUUAGAUACCCUGGUAGUC